RNAcentral lists this non-coding RNA (28 nucleotides) under Rattus norvegicus (Norway rat). Lineage: Eukaryota; Metazoa; Chordata; Mammalia; Rodentia; Muridae. The record is from RNAcentral.
UGGUCUACAGAUCGAGUUCCAGGCCAGC